Long non-coding RNA from Pongo pygmaeus (Bornean orangutan), 1305 nucleotides. RefSeq lists it as uncharacterized. The record is from RefSeq and is a predicted model, not a curated record. The transcript has 3 exons. NCBI's taxonomy places the organism in Eukaryota, Metazoa, Chordata, Mammalia, Primates, Hominidae.
GGGGUCCCCACACCCUGCACUGACUAAGGGUAGCGGGUCUCUGCGGGCUGGGGACGCAGGGGUUCGGCCUGGCUGCGGGAAGCCUCCCUGGAUCCUGCCUCUAGAUAUCUGCUGCUGAAAUCUAGAACACCAGCGGGAAAACAGAUUUGAAGACAAUGAAUGCAAAUCUGUGCUCAAAGACCAUCUGCCGUGGAGGAGACAAUCAGCUGUUUUACGGAGAAUUUCGGUCCCAGCAAAAACUGACCACCUGGAGUCUUCUACCGUCUCUAUAAAUCUCUCCGAACCUCAAGCAACUCCCCCGCACCCCUUUCGUCUAGGGUCUGCGCCCAGCGGGGCCAAAGCCUUGAGUUCCUUGGCAGAGAGUGUGGAACAGCCGUGAGCCCUUCAAGACACGCCUAUGAGCCCGGUGAUUUUUUUUUCAAGGGGGCUUUGAUCGGCUGUACCUCCACGUUGCCCCGGAAAGGUGCGCAGGGCACCCGGAGGGGCCUCUGGUCAGCAGUGGGCCUGGGCCGAGCCCCAACAGUUUACCCCUCAGGCUCAGGUUGGCUGGGGUUAAAGGGCAAAGUCAGGGUCGAGGGCGCCAGCUUUUCUCGGCGGUAACAGCUGCCACCCAAAUUAUGCCCCCUCAGGAAGCGAAUGAAUUGUUCCUUUCUCCCAGCUCCCUGCUGCCAGCCCCAAAACAGACGGGCCGCGCUCGGCGGGCGCCCCUCCUCCCAGCCAACCCCCCGAGACGCGCUCAGGGGCCUCGGUGCCCCGCUGGGAGGAAUCUGGGGGAGCCGUGGUCCCGAACUUUGACAGAGUGGGGCCUCCCCACUACUUGCCGGCUGCGCUAAGGGCGCCCCCCGCGACAGUGCUGCUGGGAGCUCCAGGGAUGCUGCGGGCGUUGAAGUUCCCUGUUGGCCUGGCUGAAGUGCCUGCGCGAGCGUGAGGGGACAAGGACUGCCUUGGGCCCAGCGUGGCGGCGUUUCGGCCAACCCAGUUGGGCUUAAUUGUGUCUGUAUAGGUUUUGGGGAGGAAUGCUCGCAGAGUCCGCCACGCGCGUGAAACAUGGGUUGGUUGGGGGAGUGAGCAGCUGCGGCUGCUCCUGGAGGGUCCCUCCCACCUCUAUCACCUCCAGCUACCCGCAAACAAACCUCCUUUUCGAUCUCGUGCAACACAAAACCUGCCCCGAGCCGCGCGGGGGCCUGGCAAGCGCAGCUGCGGCCCGGGAAGCCCAGUCCCGCGGGGCUGCGGAGCCCACACGCUUCUCAGGCUCCGGCCAACUAGCUCGGUUCUGCCUCUAGCCCGGGUCAAGAAAAAUCCAAA